GAUGAAGAACGUAGUGAAAUGCGAUACUUGGUGUGAAUUGCAGAAUCCCGUGAACCAUCGAGUCUUUGAACGCAAGUUGCGCCCGAAGCCAUUAGGCCGAGGGCACGCCUGCCUGGGCGUCACACGUCGUUGCCCCCCCAUCUACUCCUUCGGGAUUGCGGGGGGCGGAUGAUGGCCUCCCGUGCGCCUCGUCGCGCGGUUGGCAUAAAUGCCAAGUCCUCGGCGACGCGCGCCACGACAAUCGGUGGUUGCGAAACCUCGGUUGCCCGUCGUGUGCGGUCGUCGCGCAUCGAGGGCUCGAAAAAAUUGCCGGGCUCCGGCUCGGCUUUCAACGCGACCCCAGGUCAGGCGGGGUUACCCGCUGAAUUUAAGCAUAUCAAUAAGCGGAGGA
This 391-nucleotide unclassified non-coding RNA is filed under the name soil metagenome. RNAcentral describes it as "partial contains 5.8S ribosomal RNA, internal transcribed spacer 2, and large subunit ribosomal RNA". The stretch from base 1 to 122 matches the Rfam family "5.8S ribosomal RNA", at positions 35 to 154 of the family's 154-position model. The record is from RNAcentral.